CCUCGUAGACGUCCGCUCGUCAAGCUCGUCACGGCGGUGUACGGUGUCGCGAGGUUCAUCGUCGGCCGAAGGGCUCGUCGUCGAAGCGUGUCGUCGUCGUCGUCGUCGUCGUCGUCGUUGUCGUCGUCGACGGUGACGCCGGCCGCGGCGGCGCGUGGUGCGAGGACGAGGUGAAUGCACGGCGGCCGCGGUGUGUGUGUCAGUGGUGUAAGCUCGUGUCUUCUGCGCUCGUGGAAACCCGCCAAAAGCCGCGGCCGCGAACAAGCACCACUAGGAUUAGCAGCAGUGGCGUGUACGACAGCUGGACCGAGAUCUUUUUCCUCGUCGUCCUCGUUAUCGUUAUCAUCGUGAUCGUUUUUGUUGGUGCCGUCGUUAUUAGUGAACGCGAACGUGCUCUGUCAAAGAAGAACGAAAAGAAGGAUAAAGGAUUGCAAAGGGAUAAAUUUGAUAUCAACUUUGUCGUCGGUACAGCAUGAAGGCAGAUAGUGACGUCAAGUGAAGGAAAGAGGGGCAAGAAGAAGAAAUAAGAGUAAUUAAUACUACAAAACAGCGCUUCGUGAAAAUAACGCAUGCACCGGCGAAUGAAAACUGGGAUAAAAGGCUGAACCUCUGGGGUGUAAAUCAGAGAAGUAAUAAUAAUAAUUAAAAAAAAACAAAAACAAACAAA
This 667-nucleotide unclassified non-coding RNA is filed under the name Polistes fuscatus (common paper wasp). RNAcentral's name for it is "uncharacterized LOC122525012, transcript variant X3". Lineage: Eukaryota; Metazoa; Arthropoda; Insecta; Hymenoptera; Vespidae. The record is from RNAcentral.